AUUUAUAUGGAACAGCUUUAUCGGAUGAGUAAGGGACAAGGCCCUCUAACCGUAUGACCAACGAUGAUACCGAUCUAUUGACAUUAAUACUGCUGCUACUGUCAAAUUGAAUAACUACCCACUCAGAGGUCUUAAACACUGGUACAAUAAUAUUCACAUCAUCUCCCAUAUCCCUUGACUGUUGAAUCUGGAUUACAUUCUCAUCCAUCAACUUCU
RNAcentral lists this long non-coding RNA (216 nucleotides) under Lathyrus oleraceus (garden pea). Its description in RNAcentral is "Pisum sativum (pea) long non-coding RNA (PSAT_LNC001891)". Lineage: Eukaryota; Viridiplantae; Streptophyta; Magnoliopsida; Fabales; Fabaceae. The record is from RNAcentral.